CCUACGGGUGGCAGCAGUGAGGAAUAUUGGUCAAUGGACGCAAGUCUGAACCAGCCAUGCCGCGUGCAGGAAGACGGCUCUAUGAGUUGUAAACUGUUUUUGUACGAGGGUAAACGUUGAUACGCGUAUCUUUCUGAAUGUACCGUACGAAUAUGGAUCGGCUAACUCCGUGCCAGCCGCCGCGGCAAUACGGAGGAUUCAAGCGUUAUCCGGAUUUAUUGGGUGUAAAGGGUGCGUAGGCGGUCGGAUAAGUUAGAGGUGAAAUCCCGUGGCUCAACUUCGGAAUUGCCUCUGAUACUGGUAGGCUAGAGAGUAGUUGCGGUAGGCAGAAUGUAUGGUGUAGCGGUGAAAUGCGUAGAGAUCAGACAGAACACCGAUUGCGAAGGCAGCUUAC
Molecule: ribosomal RNA, 394 nt
Filed under: uncultured bacterium
Lineage: Bacteria
Description: partial 16S ribosomal RNA
Rfam family: Bacterial small subunit ribosomal RNA
Source: RNAcentral